GCGGACGUGGCUCAGUGGUAGAGCAUCACCUUGCCAAGGUGAGGGUCGCGGGUUCAAAUCCCGUCGUCCGCUCCA
This 75-nucleotide transfer RNA is filed under the name Actinospica sp. Its description in RNAcentral is "tRNA-Gly". It matches the Rfam family "tRNA". From Rfam's summary of the family: Transfer RNA (tRNA) molecules are approximately 80 nucleotides in length. Their secondary structure includes four short double-helical elements and three loops (D, anti-codon, and T loops). RNAcentral also lists the same sequence under 6 other names. The record is from RNAcentral. Lineage: Bacteria; Bacillati; Actinomycetota; Actinomycetes; Catenulisporales; Actinospicaceae.